Candidatus Burkholderia humilis is the source of this 173-nucleotide non-coding RNA. Lineage: Bacteria; Pseudomonadati; Pseudomonadota; Betaproteobacteria; Burkholderiales; Burkholderiaceae. The record is from Rfam.
GUGGGCAUCGUCACCGUGCAGCCGACCACCGUGCCGGUCAUCGUCGAUCUGCCGGGCCGCACCAGCGCGUUCCUCAACGCGCAAGUGCGUGCGCGGGUGGACGGUAUCGUGCUGCGCCGCGAAUUCACCGAAGGCGAUGACGUCAAGCAGGGCCAGCGCCUGUACAAGAUCGA